This 543-nucleotide long non-coding RNA is filed under the name Dromaius novaehollandiae (emu). Its description in RNAcentral is "lncRNA (ENSDNVG00000011804.1)". The record is from RNAcentral. Lineage: Eukaryota; Metazoa; Chordata; Aves; Casuariiformes; Dromaiidae.
UGCAGUAAGGAGAAAUAAAGGUUGAGUGAUAUGAUAUGCUAAAACAGAUUAAAUAAAAGGRCUAGGUGUAAUAGGGAAGAAAAAAUAAGAGGGCAUGUGACAAAGGAAAAUGAUAAUACAGAGAAAAAAUAAUUAAUCUGAUGAAGAUAGAUACAAAGGUAGUUCAGUGCUAAAAGAAUAUAAGAAAAGAGUGAAAGGUAGGUUGGACAUUUCCUUCUGGAGACAAAGAGACUUCUGUAAAUAUGGCACAAGAGGAACUGUGAGACAAAUGAAAUGCAUUGAGUUUGUGAGGAAGCAUGAUGGAAAAAAAGGUUUUAGCAGCCCAGAUGUGGCCAUCUUCUUCAGGAUGAAGGGCCACUUUCAUUCCCAGGUGGAUGUGAAGGGUUGAAGCAGCUGUGUGCGUGAGGUACUGCACCYGGCUCAAUAGUCCCUAAGAGUGUCAGCCUUGUUCUACAGCACAUAAGUGASCUCGUCUCCUUUCCCUUUCUGCGCAGUAAUACCGCUGUCUAGGUGGGUGUCUGUUUGUCCUCCUGACUGGAUAUA